GGAUCGGGAUGCUGUGCACUGUU
This 23-nucleotide microRNA is filed under the name Xenopus laevis (African clawed frog). RNAcentral's name for it is "xla-miR-92b-5p". Its record names the gene xla-miR-92b-5p. The record is from miRBase by way of RNAcentral. Lineage: Eukaryota; Metazoa; Chordata; Amphibia; Anura; Pipidae.